RNAcentral lists this ribosomal RNA (404 nucleotides) under uncultured prokaryote. RNAcentral describes it as "bacterial SSU rRNA". It matches the Rfam family "Bacterial small subunit ribosomal RNA", at positions 355 to 776 of the family's 1533-position model. The record is from RNAcentral. RNAcentral also lists the same sequence under 1 other name.
UGGGGAAUAUUGGGCAAUGGGCGCAAGCCUGACCCAGCAACGCCGCGUGAAGGAAGAAGGUUUUCGGAUCGUAAACUUCUAUCCUUGGUGAAGAUAAUGACGGUAGCCGAGAAGGAAGCCCCGGCUAACUACGUGCCAGCAGCCGCGGUAAUACGUAGGGGGCAAGCGUUGUCCGGAAUGAUUGGGCGUAAAGGGCGCGUAGGCGGCCUGUUAAGUCUGGAGUGAAAGUCCUGCUUUUAAGGUGGGAACUGCUUUGGAUACUGAUGGGCUUGAGUGCAGGAGAGGUAAGCGGAAUUCCCGGUGUAGCGGUGAAAUGCGUAGAGAUCGGGAGGAACACCAGUGGCGAAGGCGGCUUACUGGACUGUAACUGACGCUGAGGCGCGAAAGUGUGGGGAGCAAACAGG